Molecule: ribosomal RNA, 467 nt
Filed under: uncultured bacterium
Lineage: Bacteria
Description: partial 16S ribosomal RNA
Rfam family: Bacterial small subunit ribosomal RNA
Source: RNAcentral
GACGAACGCUGGCGGCGUGCUUAACACAUGCAAGUCGAACGGAAAGGCCCUGCUUUUGUGGGGUGCUCGAGUGGCGAACGGGUGAGUAACACGUGAGUAACCUGCCCUUGACUUUGGGAUAACUUCAGGAAACUGGGGCUCAUACCGGAUAGGAGCUCCUGCUGCAUGGUGGGGGUUGGAAAGUUUCGGCGGUUGGGGAUGGACUCGCGGCUUAUCAGCUUGUUGGUGGGGUAGUGGCUUACCAAGGCUUUGACGGGUAGCCGGCCUGAGAGGGUGACCGGCCAAAUGGGGACUGAGAUACGGCCAAGACUCAUACGGGAGGCAGAAGGGGGGAAGAUUGCACAAUGGGCGGAAGCCUGAUGCAGAAACGCCGCGUGCGGGAUGACGGCCUUCGGGUGGUAAACCGCUUUCGCCUGUGACGAAGCGUGAGUGACGGUAAUGGGUAAAGAAGCACCGGCUAACUACGU